AUUGAACGCUGGCGGCAGGCCUAACACAUGCAAGUCGAGCGGAUGAAGGGAGCUUGCUCCUGGAUUCAGCGGCGGACGGGUGAGUAAUGCCUAGGAAUCUGCCUGGUAGUGGGGGAUAACGUCCGGAAACGGGCGCUAAUACCGCAUACGUCCUGAGGGAGAAAGUGGGGGAUCUUCGGACCUCACGCUAUCAGAUGAGCCUAGGUCGGAUUAGCUAGUUGGUGGGGUAAAGGCCUACCAAGGCGACGAUCCGUAACUGGUCUGAGAGGAUGAUCAGUCACACUGGAACUGAGACACGGUCCAGACUCCUCAGGGAGGCAGCAGUAGGGAAUAUUGGACAAUGGGCGCAAGCCUGAUCCAGCCAUUCCGCGUGUGUGAAGAAGGUCUUCGGAUUGUAAAGCACUUUAAGUUGGGAGGAAGGGCAGUAAGUUAAUACCUUGCUGUUUUGACGUUACCAACAGAAUAAGCACCGGCUAACUUCGUG
RNAcentral lists this ribosomal RNA (484 nucleotides) under uncultured bacterium. Its description in RNAcentral is "partial 16S ribosomal RNA". It matches the Rfam family "Bacterial small subunit ribosomal RNA", at positions 30 to 507 of the family's 1533-position model. The record is from RNAcentral.